RNAcentral lists this ribosomal RNA (328 nucleotides) under Gekko yakuensis. RNAcentral's name for it is "partial 12S ribosomal RNA". Lineage: Eukaryota; Metazoa; Chordata; Lepidosauria; Squamata; Gekkonidae. The record is from RNAcentral.
CAGCUCACCUUUUGAAAAGCCAAAUAGUGUGCAAAACAAUCCACCACUAAAACGUCAGGUCAAGGUGUAGCUAAUUGGGGGGCAGCGAUGGGCUACAUUUUCUAUUAAUAGAAGCCCCCAGCAGCAUGAAAACAAUGCCAUAAGACGGAUUUAGCAGUAAACAGAGCAAGAAUCGCCCAAUUGAAGCUCGCCCUGAGACGCGUACACACCGCCCGUCACCCUCCUCAACAAACCAAAAUAUAAAGCUAACUAAGCCGCCCUUUACCCCAACCUUAGAUGAGGUAAGUCGUAACAUGGUAAGUGUACUGGAAAGUGCACUUGGCAAAAC